GAGAUUGGCUCAUCUGCGCGUUAAGUAGUUGCGCCGAAGGCGAUGAUCGAGAAAAUUCACCUCGGUGCGCUACUUGUCACGUGGUUCGAGUGCGCUCGCCGAUGCGUGAAGU
Molecule: microRNA precursor, 112 nt
Filed under: Dinoponera quadriceps
Lineage: Eukaryota; Metazoa; Arthropoda; Insecta; Hymenoptera; Formicidae
Description: microRNA dqu-mir-252b precursor
Gene: dqu-mir-252b
Source: miRBase by way of RNAcentral